UACGAAGGGGGCUAGCGUUGCUCGGAAUUACUGGGCGUAAAGGGCGCGUAGGCGGUUAGUUUAGUCAGGGGUGAAAGCCCAGGGCUCAACCCUGGAAUUGCCUUUGAUACUGGCUAUCUUGAGUUCGGGAGAGGUGAGUGGAACUCCGAGUGUAGAGGUGAAAUUCGUAGAUAUCAGGAAGAACACCCGUGGCGAAGGCGGCUCUCUGGGACGGUACUGACGCUGAGACGCGAAAGCGUGGGGAGCGAACAGG
RNAcentral lists this ribosomal RNA (253 nucleotides) under uncultured bacterium. RNAcentral's name for it is "partial 16S ribosomal RNA". It matches the Rfam family "Bacterial small subunit ribosomal RNA", at positions 524 to 776 of the family's 1533-position model. The record is from RNAcentral.